GGCGGCGUGCUUAACACAUGCAAGUCAAGGAGAACGGAUCCUUCGGGAUACUAUUAAACUGGCGAACGGGUGAGUAACACGUAGGCAACUUGCCUUGGAGAUUGGGAUAACCCCGGGAAACCGGGACUAAUACCAAAUAAUGCAGCGUAUCCUUCGGGAUAUGUUGUUAAAGUGGGCUUCGGCUCACACUUCAAGAUGGGCCUGCGUCCGAUUAGCUUGUUGGUGAGGUAAUGGCUCACCAAGGCGAUAAUCGGUAGCUGGUCUGAGAGGAUGAUCAGCCACACUGGGAUUGAGAUACGGCCCAGACUCCUACGGGAGGCAGCAGUGGGGAAUUUUGCGCAAUGGACGAAAGUCUGACGCAGCAACGCCGCGUGAUCGAUGAAGCUUUUAGGAGUGUAAAGAUCUGUCGUGAGGGAAGAAAAAUCUGGAUGUAAAUAAUGUUCAGACUUGACGGUACCUCAUAAGAAAGCACCGGCUAACUUCGUGCCAGCAGCCGCGGUAAUACGAGGGGUGCUAGCGUUGUCCGGAAUUACUGGGCGUAAAGGGUCCGUAGGCGUCUUGUCAAGUUGAUCGUUAAAUCCACCGGCUUAACCGGUGAUCUGCGAUCAAAACUGGCAGGAUAGAAUAUGUGAGGGGAAUGUGGAAUUCCUGGUGUAGCGGUGACAUGCGUAGAUAUCAGGAGGAACACCAAUGGCGAAGGCAGCAUUCUGGCACAAUAUUGACGCUGAGGGACGAAAGCGUGGGGAGCAAACAGGAUUAGAUACCCUGGUAGUCCACGCCGUAAACGAUGAGUACUUGGUGGUGGGGGAUUCGACCCCUUCACUAUCGGAGCUAACGCGUUAAGUACUCCGCCUGGGGACUA
RNAcentral lists this ribosomal RNA (862 nucleotides) under uncultured Fidelibacterota bacterium. Its description in RNAcentral is "SSU rRNA". It matches the Rfam family "Bacterial small subunit ribosomal RNA", at positions 38 to 882 of the family's 1533-position model. The record is from RNAcentral. Lineage: Bacteria; Pseudomonadati; Fidelibacterota.